CAGUAGCCACGGUAAUACAGAGGGUGCAAGCGUUAAUCGGAAUUACUGGGCGUAAAGCGCGCGUAGGUGGUUUGUUAAGUUGGAUGUGAAAUCCCCGGGCUCAACCUGGGAACUGCAUUCAAAACUGACUGACUAGAGUAUGGUAGAGGGUGGUGGAAUUUCCUGUGUAGCGGUGAAAUGCGUAGAUAUAGGAAGGAACACCAGUGGCGAAGGCGACCACCUGGACUAAUACUGACACUGAGGUGCGAAAGCGUGGGGAGCAAACAGGAUUAGAUACCCCCGUAGUCCCUGUCUCUUAUAC
This 301-nucleotide ribosomal RNA is filed under the name uncultured bacterium. RNAcentral describes it as "partial 16S ribosomal RNA". It matches the Rfam family "Bacterial small subunit ribosomal RNA", at positions 509 to 807 of the family's 1533-position model. The record is from RNAcentral.